This 389-nucleotide long non-coding RNA is filed under the name Homo sapiens (human). Its description in RNAcentral is "HSALNT0403666". The record is from RNAcentral. Lineage: Eukaryota; Metazoa; Chordata; Mammalia; Primates; Hominidae.
AACAGCUGGCCAGAGCACAGUGAGCUGAGGACACGGGGAAUAGAAGAGUUUAGUAAGGAAAUGUGGGGCAGUUUAUGUUGGGACUAGUAAAGCAUGGCCAGAAUUUUGAAUUUUAUCCCGACUGACAUGUAAGAGCUACAAGAGAGGUUUGACUUAUGAAGAUCCCCACACUUGCUGCUAUGGAGAAAAGUGAAAGGAAAAGUGGGGUGACCAGAUAUAGACACCGCAAUAACUAGGGAGAGAUGAUGGUGGCUUUGAUAGGAUUAUAGUGGUCAAGUUGGUGAGCUUCAGGUUCUGGAUACAUGCAGAGAACAGAGGCAACAGGAUUUACAGAUGAAUUACAUGAGACACGGAAGAAUGACUCCGGGGCUUUAAGAUUUUUUUUUGAA